This 700-nucleotide ribosomal RNA is filed under the name uncultured bacterium. Its description in RNAcentral is "bacterial SSU rRNA". It matches the Rfam family "Bacterial small subunit ribosomal RNA", at positions 8 to 701 of the family's 1533-position model. The record is from RNAcentral.
AGAGUUUGAUCCUGGCUCAGAUUGAACGCUGGCGGCAUGCUUUACACAUGCAAGUCGAACGGCAGCACGGGCUUCGGCCUGGUGGCGAGUGGCGAACGGGUGAGUAAUGCAUCGGAACGUGCCCAUUUGUGGGGGAUAACGCGGCGAAAGUCGCGCUAAUACCGCAUACGCCCUGAGGGGGAAAGCGGGGGAUUCUUCGGAACCUCGCGCAAUUGGAGCGGCCGAUGUCAGAUUAGCUAGUUGGUAGGGUAAAGGCCUACCAAGGCGACGAUCUGUAGCGGGUCUGAGAGGAUGAUCCGCCACACUGGGACUGAGACACGGCCCAGACUCCUACGGGAGGCAGCAGUGGGGAAUUUUGGACAAUGGGGGCAACCCUGAUCCAGCCAUGCCGCGUGAGUGAAGAAGGCCUUCGGGUUGUAAAGCUCUUUCGGCCGGGAAGAAAUCGGCGACUCUAACAUAGUCGCUGGAUGACGGUACCGGACUAAGAAGCACCGGCUAACUACGUGCCAGCAGCCGCGGUAAUACGUAGGGUGCGAGCGUUAAUCGGAAUUACUGGGCGUAAAGCGUGCGCAGGCGGUUUUGUAAGACAGAUGUGAAAUCCCCGGGCUUAACCUGGGAACUGCGUUUGUGACUGCAAGGCUAGAGUACGGCAGAGGGGGGUGGAAUUCCUGGUGUAGCAGUGAAAUGCGUAGAUAUCAGG